UUUAACAUCUCAUGACUUUAGCCUCAAUUUGUUCUUGGUUUGAAACCAAGAACGUGAACAAGACUAUUUCGUCCAAACAAUUCCACUAUUUAGCCAAAAUAUUUCGAUAGAAAUUUCAAAAGGCCACCACAAUUUCGUUCAAAAUUUCAAAGGGAUUCAGGCAGAAUUUCGUUCAACACAUUUCAUGGAAGCAGAAGCUUCAUUCCGUUCAAAUAAUUCUAGGAACAGGUAUGUUAAGGCUAUCCCUUCUUUCUUUUGGCACGGUCCAAAUUAUACAGAAGAAACGAGCAAAUACAUAGUUUCUUUAAAUUACUCUAUUCAUAGAAAUAGUAGGGGUGUCUAUAUUCUUGAUUCCCCAUGAGAAUUAUUAUUAUCUUCUGUUCAUGAGUAUCAGAAUAAUACGUAGUUAGAAAUGUUUAUCCGAAAGGAAUAUCGAGAUUGUUAUGUAUUUUUCAUGCAUUUCACUCAUUUAUACAUGUGCAUUGACCCAUGACCAGAUGACGUUAUAUACGCGUAUAUAUGUAAAUAUAUGUAUAUGGAAUAUGGAAAAAGGUUAUGGCGUUAUAUACGCAUCACCACCUGAUCAGCCGGUAUAUGAUGAUGAUGUUGCCCAUAGUGGCUGAAAUAUGAUUCAAACGGUGUUAUAUACGCGUAUAUAUACAGUACUCUAUAUUUCUUCCAUGUCUCUUUUGUACUUAUUUAUAUGCCUUACAUACUCGGUACACUAUUCGUACUAACGUCCUUUUGCCUGGGAACNNNNNNNNNNNNNNNNNNNNNNNNNNNNNNNNNNNNNNNNNNNNNNNNNNNNNNNNNNNNNNNNNNNNNNNNNNNNNNNNNNNNNNNNNNNNNNNNNNNNNNNNNNNNNNNNNNNNNNNNNNNNNNNNNNNNCUUGUAGACGUAUGUCGUAUACGUGAAAGAUUGUGCGGCCUUGUCGGCCUAUGUUUUGAGUUUAUAAAUAAUUAUAUUGGCGUAUUAGGCCUGUAUGUCAUGUGUAUAUGAUGAUGUAAUAAGAAAGAUACGUUACGUUGGUACUCUAUCGAGUAAGGUACCGGGUGCCCGUCGCGGUCCAUCAGUUUGAGUCGUGACAAAAGUGGUAUCAAAGCAGUUCUAUCCUAUGGAGUCUACAAGCCGUGUCUAGUAGAGUCUUAUUUAUGGGUGUGUCGUGCACCACACUUAUAAGCAGGAGGCUGUAGGGUAUUUAGGAUUGUCACUCUUUUUUCUUACUCUAGAUCGUGUGGUAGAGCUCACUUAUAAGAAUUCAAAUUUCAAAAUUCUAUUUUAUUCGUAAUAAAACGAUGCCUAAAUUCAGAAAGACGGUCGCUAAGGGAUAUAGCUAUGGAAGUGUUGAGUUAGAGGAACUCGAUUUUGCAUCUUGCUUAUGAUGAGUAAAUGUGAGGUCUUCGGCAGAUCAUGCGUGUACUAAAAGGUGUAAGGUUCUUGAUAAGGAGCUUUAAGGAAAGAAUACUUAUCCACUCUUACGAUUAAAAGGAAUAAUGGAAUCGGAAGUUAGACAUAAGUUUCUGCAAGUAAAUGAAGCAAGGUGAAGAAGGGUAUGAGGUACCCAGUUAAUAAAGAUUAUCAUUAUUUAUCAUUCAGGAAAGGAGAUAUAAGCAUUUUGAGUUACCUUCAACAGUAACAAGUGUACGUACAAUCGGCACAUCUAUCUCAGUCGUGCCUUAUGGGAGCUAACAGAUAUGGUUUAAGAGAAGGAUGGGAUAGCAGGAUCCGGCUAGGAUUAGAGUAACCCAAAAUGAUGGAUGGAUGGUUUGCGCUAAUUUACAUUUCGGAAGAAUAUUAAAAAGGUGAAAAUAGAUCUCCUUAUGGGAUACCUAGAUGGUGCCCUCUAAAAUAGUACAGGUAGACAUGAGUACUACAUAGACAUGCACUUGAAGCCUGAAAAGGAUAAAUAUUAUCUUAGUAUGGCUCUCGUCCCUAGUGGAGAGAUAAUGCUAGGUAACCCAAAGAGCUAAUGGAUGGUGCAAAGGGGAACUAAAAGCAAAAGAAUAUCUUGUUGAAGUUUUCAGAAUAAAGUGAUAGACAUAAAUGUUCGCAGGAAAUAAGAAGAGAGCUAAUGAAGCAUUAAGAGUAAGAUGUGAUACAUGGAUGAAAACGGUAGGCCAAAACAAUGAUAGCAUUCCAGAGUCGAUAGUCAAGUGAAGGAAAAGACGAAAAGUGACAGGCCUUGAGGUAACAAAAGAAUAUAGGCCAUAAAGUCAUGCCCUCACUUCGAGAAACAAGUUCGCGACACUAACGUGAUUCAGAAGAAAAAGUUAGACCCUAGAGUAAUAGAAGUCAGCAUGGACUGGUGGAAAAAGAUAAACUAAACAUGAAUUAGGGACUGAGUGAUUUGAUGGUGGUCGGCAUCAGAAGAACUUCAUAUUGCGUUCCGGCGAUAAUAGAAUGGACCACAGAGGAAGAUUCGUGAGAAACUCAGAGAAUGGUUAUUCAGGAAGACGCUUCCCUAAAGCAAGCAAUGUGAGCAAAGUUAAACUUAAGGGAUUGUAUGUGCUAGUUACACUAAGUAUCACCUUCGUGAGUGAGGAAUUUUGUUAUCUUUGGUACAUAAGGAUUGUCGCAAGGCGAGUAAGGGUCAUCAAUGAUGUGAAAAGACACCAAAGAUGAAGAGGUAACACAUCUAUAGGUAGAUCAUCGUGGCUUCAACUCUUAGUACUCCCCUAAAGGGGGGAAUAUGGAGUAAUGUGGUGUUAAGUCGUAAUUAAGUGAUUCUAGUAGCUACAAAAUGGUAAAGGAAGAAUGCAAUAAAAAUAAAAAAGGGAUGAGAUUGCACUAUUCAAAGCCCACAGAUAGGCUACGAUCAUAGAACAUUAUGCAAACACGACGUCAAGGAGAAAAAAGUGAGGCAUUCCUGCCUGGAAUGUUAUGGAUAAAUAAGGAGCCAGUGCGAGACGUAAGUUAAGACAAAGGAAAUAAACCAAGAAAGAUUAUGUGGAAUAUUUAUGUGAGAACGGGCCAACGAGUAGUUAGAAGUUGAUUAAGGAAGAGCCUAGUUACGGCUAGAUAGGAGGUUACAGACGAAUCAACAGAUCAUGCAAGAUAAACAUAGUAAAACCCAAUAUAGUGAAUUCAGCUUCACAGUAAUGUUAUUAUAAUACUUGAAAUAUAUUUCGAUAGGAGUCGGGGUAGUUAAAGGUACCAUAUGAAUGUUACGGGAAUAAAAGAGAGUGCCACUGGGGAGAUAGUUAAAAUAUCAGUUCAGAAGCAACUCUACAAGCACAAGGGCAUGGAGGUAAGCAACUAUAGAUAAUUAUAGGCAAGGAAGGACAUCAAAAGGUCCAUAAUAAGCUCACAACUUUACAGGAAUCAAGGGUUCUCCCUAAGUACUAUAAAGAAAGACUAGCUAAGGAAAUAAGGAAGAAGACUUCAACCUAAGUACAACAAACUAAAAAGGAAAGGGUCGUGUAACAACAGUCUUACAACAACAUUAUAAGCACUCCAAAGGAAAGUGGCCCCUACAGUGGAUAAUGAAUGGGAAGAAAAAUUAAAAGUAAUAUUCGAAGGUCAUAUGAGUUGCACGAAAGCUCUAGCAUGUGUGGGAACUAAGAUAAGCUAAGUAUGCACGCAACAAGGGGGCAGAAAGACCAGGAAAGGUAAUAGCUUACAUUGAAGAAAACUAAGAAGGAACAAAAGAAAUUAUUUGAUCAAUGAUCCCGAGUUGGUAACGUUAUGAACGCACUUAAGAGUUUGGAGUUUUAUACCUGCAUCAUAUACAGUCGUAGAAGAUUCUGGGAUAAGUUAAAAGAAAGAAUUGAGCCCAGGUCAUAGAUGAAUGAUUGAAUUGUUAUAGGAUUUUAUCAUAAAUAUCCCUCAGUGCCUAUGAAAGGCUAAAGUAAUAACUAAUACCAGGAACCGCAGGUCGGAAGAUAUCUUAAGCCUACAUAGAGGCUGAUCAGAAAGAAGAGGAGACUAAAGAGUUACAUUGACUAAGCAAAAUAGGAGGGACCAAGAGAAUUAUAGACCUCAGGAUCACUCUUAAGUAGCAGAGGUAUAAUAAAGAUAGUAUAAUAGCCAUAUAUUAUAAUAGCUUUAUUAUAAAACCAACUGAAGAGUACCAGCCUCAUAAGAAGUCAGUACGAAGCUCCCAUCGGAUUGUGUAUGCACCAGAGGUGUAAGAAUUAUAAUAGAGCUACAAGUUAUGAACGUGAAUUAUACCUAUGUGGAAGGGAGGUCAUGAAAGAGAUAGAAGAUACAAUGCGAGAUUUUAAGGUAAGUAAGGUAAAGGUGAAUAGUGUACGAGAUACUCAAAGGUAGAAUAUGUGAAUAGUCCAUACUUCGGAUAAAAGGCUAGAAGUGCUGGGAUUCAAUAUCCAGGAAUGAUAGCGGCAUAGUCAGUAGCAUAUCUCAUAGCCUAUGGUUUAGGUAUCGAGGAGGCUAAUUAAGACAGUAAAGAAGAGUUAGAGACGAUGUGAUGUCUCGCUUGAUGUCCCAGAAUGACAUAAGGAAAUCUAUGAUGCAAACAAGUUGAAAGGUUGCAAUUAAUAUAAAUAGAGUUGUGUAGGUCGCAAGCCAUUGUAUGGUGAAGCGACAAGGUUAUAGAAGACAAGAGUAAGGAUAAGAAAGGGCGAGUGAGAAGGUAACGAAAAUGGAUAAGUCCUCAGGAUUAAGCCCAUGAAAAUAAGAAGAGCAAAUGGUUUCUCUAAAUUAUACAAAGCUCACUAUAGCCUGAAUGAACUCAAAGGAGUCUAAUACUAAUAGCAUUUAGAAUGCCACCUAGGUAAUAGAAUGAGGGUGUAAUUGUGAUAGAUAAAAGAUGAUGUUUGGGACUUCGAUUGAGUAAUGAUUCAACGAAAAAAAAGAAACGAAUCUCAUGAAUUGGACAGGAUUAAAGUACCCCACGUAAGGUGAAUCGCAUUGGGAUGUUGUGAGGUAUGGUUAUGAAAGCAGGGUAUCGCCCCAGGUGGAUCAAUCUAAUCAUUCCAGACGUUCUCCGAUAAAAUGUGAAUCCUAGAAGCAAUAUUACAUAAAAGGUUAAGUUAUCAAUGGUAUAUUGUAGAUCAAUAUUGAGGUGAAUCAACAAUGGAUGGACAAAAGUUACAAAGUAUGAGAUAAGAUUUGGCUGUCAUACUAAAGAUGAACAGUAAUGAGGAAGCAUUAAAGGACUUAAAUUUAUACAUAUGGAAUGUGCAACGAGAGUAAGCUGGGAUUUGGUAGCAGACCUCAGCAACGAUAAAUUAAAGUAAGAGUUAUGGCAGUAAAUUCAUACGGAUGGUUAAACGGACCUAUGCGAUGAGAUAUAACAAUAUUCAUGAAUUCAACCAAGUACCGAGCGAAGAACUUCAGUAUACUCAUAAAUGCCCAAAGGGAAAUCUUAUCAAGCUCGACAUGUGAAGCCUAGAGAUUGGGCACACUUAUAAGAUCAAAACUAUAUAGGUUGCAUGAUGAAAGGUAGGAACAUUUACGAGAUUGAAAGGAUUCCGACUACAAGUUGUGGUGUGAGAAGGAGGCCUAAGGGGGGGAUGACCUAGACUUUGGACUUAUUCACAGAACAGUCGCCUAGAUGGCAAGGAAAGUUCUAAAGUAUUCGGAAGAUAUAAGUUAAGAAAAUGAUAAGAGCAUUAGUCAACAUUCGAGGACGAAUGUUCCAAAGGGGGGAAUGAUGUUACACCCUGCAAUAUUAUAUUAAUAUUACGUCCCGCAGUAUUAUAUUAUGACAAUGAUAUGCUCUGUAGUAAUAUAUUACGGUGAUGUUACGCUUCGCAGUAAUAAGUUACGAUAGUGUUUCACCCUGCAGUAUUGUACGCUGAAUUUGUCGUAAGGUGACAUCAGUUCAAGGAAAAGAUUAUUUGGAGAUUAUAAGGAUUGUAAGUGAUGAAUAAAUUCGUGAAGGUGAGGGGGGAAGCAAGUUGAAGAAAAUGAAUUUCGUUAAAAUUUGGUAUUUUGGGAUAAAAUAUGGCUCAAGCUAAAAUACUCGGUAUUUAUGGACUAGUACAAUAGAGGGUACCACAUGACCAUAAUAGUAAGGCAUAUAAGGUAUGUGAAAAGUGAGUAAUAUUUUAAGUAAGUGGGAAUAAUUCUCAAAUUUUCGGGUAAUUGGUUAAUUACCGGGUAACAGGACAUUACCCAAUUAACUAAUAAGUAGAUAAAAUUUAAUAUACUAACCACCCCACCCACGUGGCACAAGGCCACUAAUUAAAGAGGAUGACUCAUAAACAAUUGAAAUAGGUGUCUAAUCUUAUCCCUACAAGGAAUCUGAUAAACCCACUAAUAUGACACUUCAAAUUAGUAUCAAGUCCAUUAAAAACCAAGAAAACAGAAGCAAAUUUUAUUCUUGUGUGUCUUUAACAUCUCAUGACUUUAGCCUCAAUUUGUUCUUGGUUUGAAACCAAGAAUGUGAACAGGACUAUUUCAUCUAAACAAUUCCACUCUUUAGCCAAAAAUAUUUCGAUAGAAAUUUCAAAAGGCCACCACAAUUUCGUUCAAAAUUUCAAAAGGAUUCAGGCUGAAUUUCGUUCACUACAUUUCACGGAAGCAGAAGCUUCAUUCCGUUCAAAUAAUUCCAGGAACAGGUAUGUUAAGACUAUCCCUUCUUUCUUUUGGCACGGUCCAAAUUAUACAGAAGAAACGAGCAACUACAUAGUUUCUAUAAAUUACUCUAUUCAUAGAAAUAGUAGGGAUGUCUAUAUUCUUGAUUCCCCAUGAGAAUUAUUAUUAUCUUCUGUUUAUGAGUCUCAGAAUAAUACGUAGUUGGAAAAGUUUAUCCGGAAGGAAUAUCGAGAUUAUUAUGUAUUUUUCAUGCAUUUCACUCAUUUAUACAUGUGCAUUGAGCCAUGACCAGAUGGCGUUAUAUACGUGUAUAUAUGUAAAUAUAUGUAUAUGGAAUAUGGGAAAAGGUUAUGGUGUUAUAUACGCACCACCACCUGAUCAGCUAGUAUAUGAUGAUGAUGUUGCCCAUAGUCGCUGAAAUAUGAUUCAAACAGCAUUAUAUACGCGUAUAUAUGUAUGUAUAUAUGGGAUAUGAAAAGGUUAUGGCGUUAUAUACGCAUUACCACCUGAUCAGCUGGUAUACAAUGAUGAUUUUGCCCACAGUGGCCGAUAUGAUAUGAUGGGAUGCCCUCAGAGGCUGAUGAUGUUAUGAAACAUGUACCUAUGCACAACAUAACAUUUAUACGCAUAUGCAUGAUGCUAAAAGUAAUUUAUGAUUUACAAAGUUAUUCAGACUUAAAGGUUGAGUCAUGUACUCUAUAUUUCUUCCAUAUCUUUUAUGUACUUAUUUAUAUGCCUUACAUACUCGGUACAUUAUUCGUACUGACAUCCCUUUUGCCUGGGGAUGCUGCGUUUCAUGCCCGCAGGUCCCGAUAGAUAGGUCGAGAGCCCUCCAAGCAGGCUAUCAGCUCAGCGGAAGAUGUUGGUGCACUCUAUUUGCUUCGGAGUUACUUGUUUGGUUAGUAUGAUUUAGACGUGUAUUGUUUGGUAUGGCGGGACUCUAUCCCGACCUUACGACAUUUAUGUACUCUUAGAGGC
This 7479-nucleotide long non-coding RNA is filed under the name Nicotiana tabacum (common tobacco). RNAcentral describes it as "long non-coding RNA (NTAB_LNC008082)". Lineage: Eukaryota; Viridiplantae; Streptophyta; Magnoliopsida; Solanales; Solanaceae. The record is from RNAcentral.